GCUUACGACCACACCGGCCUGAGUACGCCUGAUCUCGUCUGAUCUCUGAAAGCUAAGCAGGGUUGGGCCUGUUUAGUUCUUGGAUGGGGAGACCGCCUGGGAAUACCAGGUGCUGUAAGCU
RNAcentral lists this ribosomal RNA (121 nucleotides) under Oncorhynchus kisutch (coho salmon). Lineage: Eukaryota; Metazoa; Chordata; Actinopteri; Salmoniformes; Salmonidae. The record is from RNAcentral.